GUGAAUCAUCGAAUUUUUGAACGCAAAUUGCACUCUCCGGUUUUCCGGGAGAGUAUUCCUGUUUACGGGUCAGCCUAAAUAAAAUCGGCUUAGUCGCUUGCUGUGUUGUUCACGGUAACGUUGGUCUAAAUUUGGGUCAUCUUAACGCGAAAGGUUUUUAAUCUACUUAAAAUUUUCUUACGAUCUCGCGUACGUUUCUAAGAUUUUCUUGCACGUUCAUGGUAUCGAUA
RNAcentral lists this unclassified non-coding RNA (230 nucleotides) under Glomus sp. Its description in RNAcentral is "partial contains 5.8S ribosomal RNA and internal transcribed spacer 2". The stretch from base 1 to 72 matches the Rfam family "5.8S ribosomal RNA", at positions 84 to 154 of the family's 154-position model. The record is from RNAcentral. Lineage: Eukaryota; Fungi; Glomeromycota; Glomeromycetes; Glomerales; Glomeraceae.